This 11116-nucleotide long non-coding RNA is filed under the name Vitis vinifera (wine grape). RNAcentral describes it as "long non-coding RNA (VVIN_LNC007288)". The record is from RNAcentral. Lineage: Eukaryota; Viridiplantae; Streptophyta; Magnoliopsida; Vitales; Vitaceae.
GUGAUACAGUUUUUGUCCAAAGCCUAGAUUCAGAAACUUCCAUUUUCAAGGUUAUCUUUCACUAAAAAUUGCUACUUAUCUGUUUCUGUUCAUUUAUUCAUGAAAAUAAUCAUUAUAAUAAUUGAAUUGAUGAAUGGUAGGAUGAGAAGGGAGAGGAUUUUUACCUUUAGCUUUGAUAGGGUUUUCUAUCAUGGAUUCGAGCAAGUUGAUGUCUAUCAAUUUCUAGCCCAGCCUUUUUUUUUUUUUUUUUUUUGAUAGGUAAGAAAAGUUCAUGGUAAAUCAAAAUACCAAAGAACACGAUGAAACUUCAAAAAUUCAAAACCUAGAACUUUCUUACAGGUUGUUUUAUUUGACUUAAAAAGAUAAAAAACAAUCUGUUUUUUUAAUUACAAUUUCUGCACAACUAAACAGCACAUUAACAAACGAAUUGACUAAAAAACACAGAUCUACAAUAACCAUGAAAGAAUCAUCAUCAAAAACUAAUUCCCCAAAACAAAAAAUCAGACCCGUGGAGAGAAUAAAUUAAAAAUUAAAAACCAAAAAAGAACAAAUCAUAAAAAAUAAAAAAAAAAUAAAACAAAAGGACUCGGACUAAAUUUUCUAAGAACCCUAUUAUUAUUCUUGGUUUAAACCAAAACCUACGAAAUUUCAUCACAAUCAUCAAGAACCCGGAUUCAUAACUCACCUGUAGUGGGGCGAAAGUCUACCGAUCCCGGCGAGCAAACUCCCAAGAACCUGAUGCGAGUUUCUUUAUCUUGCAGCAAACCUAAAGACUCCGACCUCUCGUGCUUCUUCCGUGGAGAGAAUAAAUUCAAAAUUAAAAACCAAAAAGGAACAACUCAUAAAAAACAAAAGGGCUCGAAGACCAAAUUUUCCAAGAACCCGACUAUUUUUCUUGGUUUAAAGCAAAACCGACAUCAUCAAGAACCCGGUGGGAUUCAACUUACCUGUAGGACGACGCAAGUCUGCCGAUUCCAGCGAGCAAACUCCCAAGAACCCUGAUGCGAGUCCUCUAUCUUGCAGCAAACUUAAAGACUUUGACCUCUCGUGCUUCCUCUCCUCUCCUUGAAGAAGUCCUUCCGAUCCCAAGGAAGUGGUUUUGACGGCAUGAAAACCCAGUCAAUCGCAUGGGCAGCCCCGCCCCUAGCUUAAUCAGCCAACCACACAACCCUAACCCAAAUCUAAGGCUUCCAAAAUCCCACAACCACAAAACCACUACGCACUAAGCUGAUUCCCCGAGCUUCCACACCGAGAUCGAACCAAAUCACACCGUGCCCUAGCCUCUCGGCCAAUAAAACUAAAAAGUCCUCCGCCUUUCACUUCCCCUCCUUCAAGUCUAUGGCUUCUGCCGCGCCCUAGAUUCCACUUCGAGGGGAUGCCACCAUAGAUGAGACACAAAAGCCUCAUCUUCCUACCUCCAGUUUCUUUCACUUUCUACGCUACCAGGGGAAAAAAUUUGUUUUUGUUUCGAACGAGAAGGUGAGAUCGUGACGACAAUAAGGUACAUAAAAGAGAAGAGGAGAAGAAAAGAGGUGAAAGAAAGGAAAGUCUCAGGACUAAAGAAUGAGAAUGGUAUAUCUAUAUCAGAUCAUCGGCUUCAUUUAACCAGAAUUUAUAUAAUAUUUUCAUGUCCCAAUAAUUAAUUUCAUUUGUCCUAGUUUAUUUAUUUUCAAGGCCUAUUUAGCCAUGUUUUUUUAAACUGGGACACAUGGUAAUUUUUAAAUUUUGUUUUUAAAGAUCGUUUCAAAAUUAGAGAGAAAAAGAGUCAUGACUAAGAGUAUUUUGUUUAUUUGUUUCAAAAUUUUACUCUGGUUUUCGUUAGUGUGAAAAAAAUACACCAAUAAAUAAAAAAAUAAACUGUAAAUGAGGUAAUGCAAGAACAACUUAAUACCUUGCUAGGUUAUUAAUGAAGUAUGUCUCCAAUAUGGGUAAAUAAGAGACUAGUCCAAGCAUAGGUGCCAUGACAUUAUAUCUUAUAAUGAAGUCAUGCAUUAAAACCUGACAUGGUAAUAAGUUGUCAUAUUAGCACAUGAUAGAUGAAAAUAGAAUUAAAACAAUAGUAUAAACAAUACAUGUGACUCCACCAAACCUAUUGCAAACCUUUUCAACCACAACUUCCAUAUUUCUCCAUAGGAGUUGGAUGAGUAGCAUAAAUAGCAGCAAUAACAUUAUCAGCAGCAGCAUACCAUUAUGUUUCCUAGCAGCCAAAACUGUCAAUUAAGAUUUCUAUUUGGAUACAUGACACCAUAUGCGUCAAUUGGUUAAUAGCAACAUGGAACAUAAUGAAUAAAUAUCUACUAAGUUUUGUUACAAGAACAGUUGAAAGGACGCAUGAUACCACUUUCAAUGUAACUUUGCAACUAAGAGACAUUUUCCUCAAGUCAACAACUAAGGUUUCAAUAGUUGGAUGAAUUGCAUAAAUAAAAUCAAUAACAUUAUCAGUAAGCGCAUACCAUAAGUUAUCUGGCAGCCAAAAACCGGUGAUUAAGCUUUUCAGAAUGCCAAAUAUCAGGGUCUCAUUAUUAGACAAUAGGUUUUUCUUUCGCUCUUUAGAAAACUUGUAAGAGUAAUGCAUCCGAUUCAAGCAUGUAGUUCAAGCAACCUUGGAGUUGUUGAAACCAAUAUUAGACCCCAGAAUGAGGACAAUAUUGAGAAGCAAAAAAGUACAGGUUUUAAAAGCAAUCCAAUGUGAGGCUACCCAAUCAAGGAUCAGUACAUUAUCAACAAAUCGUAAGUAACUCGAGAUGGAGAAUCCACCUUUGGAAGAACGCUCAGAUUGGGCCUAGGACUCUCCCCAAGAUUUAAUUUACAAGAUAAUGUGAGACUAGAGAAACCUUUGAUUAAUGAACAUACAUGAUCAAACACGUCUUACUCUUCGAGACAGAAAAGCUCUUUCCAAGAGAGAUCAAAUAAUACAUCUAUUUGCAUAAAAAGAAAAAAAGAUUCAAAUCCUAAAAAAAAAAAAUGGUUAAAAUAUACAAAAUAAAUAAUAUCAAUAUCUUUACUUAGAAAAAUGACUAAUGAGAAUAAAAUAGAUAUUUGAAUCUAACUUGGAAAGUGAAAACUUAACUCAAAUACACAGAAUAGUUGAAUUUGAUGCACAAGAGAGAGUUUGUUUACCAGGUAUCAAAUAAAAAUUAUCAAAAAAUAAUAUAAAAAAAAAACAAUGGAUUACUCAAAUGUUCAAUUGAUUAUUAAUUUUAAUUUUUUAUUUUUGCUUUUCUUCCCAUUUCUCAUAGUUGAGAAUAUUUGAGGGUUUUAUCAAUUGUUGAUGGGAAAAAACACCAUUGAUAAGAAAACUGAAUAUAAAUCAUGAACCAAAAGAUUUACCCCACUUGUUUAGAUGCCAUGAAUAUGUAGGAUAAUAAAAGAAAACAAACUUUUCUUGAUAUAUAUGGUAACAAACACAUUCUCCACGGCUUCAUAAGUGGACUAGUCCUGAGAAAAUAUAGGACAACCUGUGUUGGCUAAAAUCAACUUUGCAAAUCUAUCAACGAGCUCCACAAGAAAGCAACGUCUGAUAGUUAUAGCCCCAACUUUGUCCUUCACAUAAUCUUUUCGGUUUGUCCUUCCAACCUCUAUGAUAGGAGAACCAACCAAACUACCAACAACACAUGAUUGCACCAUAUAGUGGUAUUUGGUAGCACAUGUCCCCAUUAAAUCACAGAGAGCAUCUUUUGUCUUUCAAUCUUUUAACAGUAUUGUGUUCUUAAGCAUAGUGUACAAGAGAUGUAAAUUAAACCUACAAAGAUAAACAUGCAAAAUAAAAUUAAAACAAAUCCAACUACUCACCCAACUUGAUUUACAACAAAAAAUAAGUAAUUUCCAUAUGGUCUCAUGGAGUUGAGUAUCUAACCCCUCUGUUGUUUCCAAUUCCAAGAGUGUAUAGGUUGUUUCUUCCUACAACUAGUACUGCCUAAAUCCAUUACAAGAACACUUUCAUAAAUUAGUAGCAACUUCCCAAUAUGACACACAUGCACAUACUUAUCAAAUAAAUAAAUAAAUAAGACACACAUGCACAUAAAAUGGAAGAGUACCUUGGGGUUGUUGUUGGGAAAAAAAAAAGUAUAGAUUUUAAAAGCAUUUCGAUGCAAGGCCACCUGAUCAAGAAUUAGUACAUCAUCAACCUGAUCAUUAGAAACUCAAAAAAGAGAACUCAGAUUUGGAAGAACACUGAGAUUGGACCUAAGACUAUACAACAUCUACUUUACAUUUUACAAGAAAGGGUAAGACUAGAGAAGCCAUUGAUUAUGGAAUACAAAUCAAAUGCAUCUUGCUCUUCAACAUAGAAAAACACUGCAUCAAAGAUAUUAAAUGAUACUCAUACAAGUUUGAGUAAGAAGAAAAACAGAUUAAAACCACAAAAUAUGGUUAAUAUGUACAGAAAAUGUGACGACCCACCCUUGCAAGCGCCAUCCACGCAAGACAGCGUCUCUUCCCUAGUCUGAAGACUGAGAUGUAGAUACUAUCCUAUGAAAGAAAAUUAACUUGUGACAAGAUAUACUAUGUCAAAGCAAUACAAGGAUGCAUAUUAAAGGAACUAUAAAUUCAUUACUAUGUCCGAGAUAAACAGUUUUGCAUACAUAAAAGCUGGUCUUAAGGGAUCGAAAACUUGUACAUACCUAAGAAAAUGGCUACAUGCCAGUAGUCUAUCCAAAAAGAAGCAAAAGGAAACGGCAACAACAUUUAUAUGCCUUGUUGACUAUCCUCCAUACCUUGCUUGGGAUUUGGUUCUACUAGGUCCUCAUCUAAAAAAUUUAGGGAACUACAAAGUGAAUAACUCAGUGAAUGAUCAUAUAAUACAGGUUGUAGUGUGGUCAGUCCAAAGUAGAAAGAGGAGUUUUAUCAUGUAGGUAACACUCAACGUAGAUAAUAUAUGGUAUAACAAUCAAGUAGACAUGCAACAUUGGACGACCCGAUGUAUAAUCAAUCAAACACAUGCAUAAUCCAUGGCUACAAUGUCACUCCAACUCUCGACACAUAUGCAAUAUAACUGCUACAAUGCCCUUUCCUCCAUCAGCAUGUAUCACAUAUGCAACCGCAGGCGACAUAUGUCUCAAAUAUCAUGGUGCCUUAUAGACACAAUAUCCCUACAUCUCUCGACACACUUCUCAUACAAACUGCUCUAGUGCCCCUUUAUCUCUUGGCAUAAAAGAUUACUAGGUUAAUUGGCUACAGUGCACCCCUCCAUUUCUACGGCACGAUAUAGGUCUAGGGUAAAUUACAAUCGCAUCCAUAGUAAUAAUGUAAAAUACCAUAAUGACCACCAAUGAUUUUUAGUGAAUGGUACGUUAAUAUGAAAUAUAUUCCCUUCAUCUAACAUAUACAAAAGAAUAGCAUAUAUGCAUAUAAAAAUAUCCAACACUCCAAUUCACAAAAUAACAUAUGUUCCCAAAAGCAUAAUAAAAUAUUAAAAUUCAAAGGAAAUUUAAAUUUCAAAAAUAGUGGGAAAAAAAAAACUAUUUUCACCUCAUAAAUGAAUUUUGUUGAAUUUUAAGAAAAAAUCUAGUCUAAACUUCCAAAAUCAAUGCCAAUGUCAGGCUAAAAGGUUUUAGCUCAAUACCUCCAUCAUGAAGGAUGAGAUUACUUACCACACAUUCAAAUGUCAAGGUUUGUAAAUUCCAUGUGGAGUUUAAACAGAAUCUUCAAAUAAUGUGAGGAACAUAGACAUAGCUAUGAGAAGUGAAGAGCGAGAGCCACACCUCUUGCAUCAAACCAAAAUUUCUACAAAGCAUCGACAACAAAGGUGCACAGUGGCCAAUCAAGCUCUUCUCCACAGAAACACCAUAAACAAUUUCAAUCUCUGCCCUUUAGGAAGCAAAAUCAAUUAUUGCAUCUUAAGAAACAUCAAGACCAAACUCAGCAUAAAAGCCAUUCUCCUACAAAGCACCAUCCAAGAAAGUGGAAUCAGUCAAAACAAGUAAAAAACCACAGAUCUUAUAUUUAAUUAUAAUAAGCCUCACAUGUGUAACCUAUGUAAUAAAUAUCUAAAUGUUCAUCUAACUAGACAAUGUGAUUUUCUCAGUCAUCUAUUGUAAGAAUUUUCAUAGUUUUUCGAUUAGAUGAUAUGGAAUAAUCUAAUAACAAUACUUGAGGACAAUAGAUGAUACCAUUCUCUUGCAAGACACCAUCAAAGGGACCGAGAUCAAUCAAAAGAGGUUCUAGUAAAGAAAAAUUGAAAUGAUUAAAUGCUUUUCAUACUCAAUAAUUCCAACCUUGAUAUCAUACUCAAUUUUCUCAAUGUAUUAAAGAAAUGAAAAAUAAUUCCAACCUUGUAUCUCGGUUUUUCUAAAACACUUGUUCCAAUGCAUGAAAUGAUUUUAAUUCAAUGCCUACAUCAUGAAGAAUGGGAUUAUUUACCACACUUUUAAAUGCCAAGUUUCACAAAUUCCAUGCGACAUUUAAAUAGAAUCUUCAAAGAGUGUGAGGAACAAAGACAAGCUGUGAGAAGUGAGAGUUGAAACAACAUUAGCUUGAUCUAUAAUAAAAGUGUGUCUGAAAACUUUCAGUCUAGACACAGUAAGGUCCAGCCUUGAUCUACUAGUUUGUAGAUAAGGAUCAAGCUAUAAUUUGGUAUUAGUUUCUGGAAAGAAGUAGAGAAAAUCAACAGCAUCAACUUGAUAAAGUUUACAUAUACCUUAAUAUGUGCAUACCUAUUGUCUCUCUUUGAUCAAUAAAAUAAUCACACCCCGCCAUAUUAAGGAUAUAUAAAAUGUACAUAGGAAGCUCAUAGAAUGGAAACAACCCUCCUAAAAAAUAAUUAAAUCAGAUCAAUUCUUAUCUGACAUGCAAAAACUGAAAAACAUAAAAUUUAUAUAUAAAGUAAACUCCAAGCUCUAUAAUUUUUCUGCGCAACACACAAAAGUUGCCCCCAGAAUUAGUUUCAACUGCUCCAACAUUUCCCUUUUUGGAAACAAAAAUGUUUCUGGCAAAACCAUUUUCAUUUAUAAUACCCAACAAGCUAUAAAUAUGAAAUAACUUGAAAAUAAUGUCUGAUGCUAGGUUUUGAUUUGUCUUCUUCCAAGGGCAUGUGCUCAAAAUCCUUUUAAUCAAAUAUUUCAUUUUGGUAAUAUAUAUCCCAAAAAACCUGUUUACUGCAAGAGGAAGGCAUCUUGAUUCAACUAGUUGCUGCACAUAAUACAUCUUUUGGUGCAGAGUUUAUGCUUCUUACCUCUCAUUAUCCAAGAAAUUUUUCCUCCAACGUUUGAGUGUCUGGUGAUAAUGUAUUCUUAUGUUUUCCAGAUGCUCCACACUGCAUUUACACAACUCUCUUAGAUUAAUUUUUUUCAGAAAGUGGAAGAAAGAUGAUUAAUUCCAAAUCAUUGUAUUAGCUUUUACCAGUAUGGCCAUUGUUACUCUAAUGAAUGAAGGAAAACAUCCACCAAGGAAGCUGCACAUAAUACAUCUUUUGGUGCAGAGUUUAUGCUUCUUACCUCUCAUUAUCCAAGAAAUUUUUCCUAUUAAUCAAAAGGGAAAGCAGAAACUUUAUUGGCAUGCAGAGUAACAUGAUAGAGCCAAUUAGAGAAGCUCUCAUUUUUUAAUGGACUGAGGAAGUGUUAGAAUCCAGGUUUAUUGUCCUGAUUUUUUUCCAUGUGACUUAGGUCAAGCAUGCUUCAAGUAUGAAGAUAGGUGGGCAACUAUCUCAGCAAGAUCAUGGACAGAAUGACCUUUAGCCUUGUUCUCAAACAGAGAAAGGAAAAAAAACAGAAAAUUAAGACAAUCCCAAUAAUGAUGUAUUAGUUAAAUUACAGUUCUGUAAAUUAGGUACAACUUAUAGAUUUCCUUUUGUAUAUUUAUACCCAAAGUUAAAAAGUAAAUAACCUACAUUUCAUGAUAACAACUAAAAUAAAAAUAGAAGUAUCUAUUUUAAAAAAACAAAAAGAAAUUGAGCAGAGUGUAUCAAUAUGUUACUAGUGCCUUAUUUUCUAGUACAUGAUGAAGCAUGUAUAACCUGCAGCCAAUUUUCUGAAAGCAACCUGCAGCCUUAUUUUCUACCACUUUCUGUACAAUAUAUUUAGCUAGAGAUCAAGAAUCAAAUGUCAGUUGUAUUAUAGCCUCGAAUUAUGUGGGUUAGGCCUUUUUUAACAAUGGAAAAUCAUGAUUUUCGGAGGCAUGUUUCUACCAGUGAUAGACCAAUGUUGAGCUAAAAUGACCAAUGAACUUAAAAAUAGUUUUUUUUUUCUUGCAUUGCGCUAUCCUCCUUUUGCUUCGGUUAGUUGGGUAUUCAUUUAGAGUGGACAAUAGUACACAUGUGAAUCAUUUGUAUUGAAUUAUAUUAAUUCGUAUAUCAAAAGCUAGCUAAAGAUUUUUGUAAGACAAAUAUUUAGGCUUCCAGGCAAUUGCCUCCAUUGAGACUUCCCACAACUCCAAAAGUAUUUCCAACUUCUUCCUUAGUAAGCUAUUAGUUGAAAUGGCAGUUAUAAAUAGAUAUAGAGAGAGAGAGAGAGCAUCACAUACCCGGCCCUAGAACUCAGUUUACUAAACUGCUCCAAGAUAGACAAGAGGCAUGUGUGUCUUAAGGAAAUAGCAUGGAAGGCUUCUGAAAGCUCAUGCAUUCUUGAAACAUUUUCCAGUGAUAUAUCCUUGAAAAUAAAAAUAAAAGAGUCACCAGGUGUCCACAAUCUGAUUCAAAGCAGUAAAGGAAUUCAUAUCCAAAAAAUCGAGCUCCUUAACUCACAUGGGCAAUGGUACACUCACAGGGACGCUUUAUCCCUGCAAGAGAUGCUGAUCAGUAGCUAUGAGGAGAUCUUGCGCAAUAUCCAAUAUAAUUUCUACAGAUCCAGUGUAUAUAAAUCUGUACAAAAAUAGAAUGUCAGUAAAUAAGAAAAGCUCAAGUCAAUUUGGAGAUGGAGCAGUGAUGCAGACAAGAUUUAAUUUCCAUCUGAGUUGUCCAAGGCCUAAUCUGGUUCUUGGUGUUAAACCUCAUUCAGAUAGAUCAGGAAUCAUUGUCCUUCUGCAAGAUAAAGCUAGAAGUAGAAGGUCUUCAAGUUUUCAAAGAUGAUAAAUUGUUUAGGUUGUUGACUAGAUAGAAUUGAAAAGGAGAAUAAGGGAAUCAAGGUGUAAUUUUUUCUUCUCCCUAAUAUAAUAAGACAACAAUAGACAAUGCUAAACAAGUUAAAAUCUUAUUUAUUCAAAGCAAGUCUUCAAGGGGCGUAUUGUUUCAAAAGAAAAAGAAAAAAUUUAAUGACAUUAAUCAGAAAUCUUCCAGAGUCAAAAGCCCCCAAAUGAUGUGACAAUCAUAUUCAAGUGUAUUGAUAUUUACCCACCUCACCAACAUUGCUCAUGGCAAAGAAAAGUGUCCCUGCAACAAGGAGUGUAUCACCAAUUAGAGGUUUCAAACCUUCUAAGUGACAAAUACAAGUUUGUGUGAUAGUUGAUACUGUACUAAUAAAUAAUAAUGUAAAAUUUUCAGUAAUGAAUUAGAAAAUGCCUCAAUGACAAAACAAAGCUCUAGUUCUAGAAUUUUCAGGUGGAUUAAGUCAUACUCUAUUUUGCUGAAUUUCAUGAUAGUUAUGCACUAAUUCUUGAAAGAUAAAGGUUUUUGGCGCCAUAAAAAUAUGUCGCACAUAACAGUCUAUGCAUGAUUUAGACCUUUAAGUUCAAAAGAGAGAAGAGAUCAUGGUGAUACAGUUUUUGUCCAAAGCCUAGAUUCGGAAACUUCCAUUUUCAAGGUUAUCUUUCACUAAAAAUUGCUACUUAUCUGUUUCUGUUCAUUUAUUCAUGAAAAAAAUCAUUAUAAUAAUUGAAUUGAUGAAUGGUAGGAUGAGAAGGGAGAGGAUUUUUACCUUAGCUUUGAUAGGGUUUUCUAUCAUGGAUUUGAGCAAGUUGAUGUCUAUGAAUUUCUACAGGUAGUUUUAUUUGACUUAAAAAGAUUAAAAAACUAUCUGUUUUUAAUUACAAUUUCUGCACAACUAAACAGCACAUUAACAAACGAAUGGACUAAAAAAACAGAUCUACAAUAACCAUGAAAGAAUCAUCAUCAAAAACUAAUUCCCCAAAACAAAGAAUCAGACCCGUGGAGAGAAUAAAUUAAAAAUUAAAAAUUAAAAACCAAAAAAGAACAAAUCAUAAAAAAUAAAAACAAAAGGACUCGGAUCCAAUUUUCUAAGAACCCUAUUAUUAUUCUUGGUUUAAACCAAAACCUACGAGUUUCAUCACAAUCAUCAAGAACCCGGAUUCAUAACUCACCUGUAGGGGGGCGAAAGUCUACCGAUCCCGGCGAGCAAACUCCCAAGAACCUGAUGCGAGUCCCUCUAUCUUGCAGCUAACCUAAAGACUCAGACCUCUCGUGCUUCUUCCGUGAGAGAAUAAAUUCAAAAUUAAAAACCAAAAAGGAACAAAUCAUAAAAAACAAAAGGGCUCGGAGACCAAAUUUUCCAAGAACCCGACUAUUUUUCUUGGUAUAAAGCAAAACUGACAUCAUCAAGAACCCGGUGGGAUUCAACUCACCUGUAGGACGGCGCAAGUCUGCCGAUUCCGGCGAGCAAACUCCCAAGAACCCUGAUGCGAGUCCUCUAUCUUGCAGCAAACUUAAAGACUCCGACCUCUCGUGCUUCCUCUCCUCUCCUUCAAGAAGUCUUCCGAUCCCAAGGCAGUGGUUUUGACAGCAUGAAAACCCAGUCAAUCGCAAGGGCAGCCCCGCCCCUAGCUUAAUCAGCCAACCGCACAACCCUGACCCAAAUCUAAGGUUUCCAAAAUCCCACAACCACAAAACCACUACGCAAUAAGUUGAUUCCCCGAGCUUCCACACCGAGAUCGAACCAAAUCACACCGUGCCCUAGCCUCUCGGCCAAUAAAACUCAAAAGUCCUCCGCCUUUCACUUCCCCUUCUUUCCGCCGCGCCCUAGAUUCCACUUCGGGGGGACGCCACCAUAGAUGAGACACAAAAGCCUCGUCUUCCUGCCUCCAGUUUCUUUCACUUUCUAAGCUAGCAGGGGAAAAAAUUUGUUUGGACGAGAAGGUGAGAUCGUGACGACAAUAAGGUGCAUAAAAGAGAAGAGGAGAAGAAAAAGAGGUGAAAGAGAGGAAAAUCUCGAGACUACAGAAUGAGUAUGGCAUAUCUAUAUCAGAUCAUCGUCUUCACUUAACCAGAAUUUAUAUAAUAUUUUCAUGUCCC